RNAcentral lists this ribosomal RNA (254 nucleotides) under uncultured bacterium. RNAcentral's name for it is "partial 16S ribosomal RNA". It matches the Rfam family "Bacterial small subunit ribosomal RNA", at positions 524 to 776 of the family's 1533-position model. The record is from RNAcentral.
UACAGAGGUCUCAAGCGUUGUUCGGAUUUACUGGGCGUAAAGGGCGCGUAGGCGGCAAAUUAAGUCAGCUGUGAAAUCUCCGAGCUUAACUCGGAACGGUCAGCUGAUACUGAUCUGCUAGAGUGCGGAAGGGGCAAUCGGAAUUCUUGGUGUAGCGGUGAAAUGCGUAGAUAUCAAGAGGAACACCUGAGGUGAAGACGGGUUGCUGGGCCGACACUGACGCUGAGUGCGCGAAAGCCAGGGGAGCAAACGGG